Molecule: ribosomal RNA, 465 nt
Filed under: Vreelandella stevensii
Lineage: Bacteria; Pseudomonadati; Pseudomonadota; Gammaproteobacteria; Oceanospirillales; Halomonadaceae
Description: partial 16S ribosomal RNA
Rfam family: Bacterial small subunit ribosomal RNA
Source: RNAcentral
CCUACGGGUGGCAGCAGUGGGGAAUAUUGGACAAUGGGGGAAACCCUGAUCCAGCCAUGCCGCGUGUGUGAAGAAGGCCCUCGGGUUGUAAAGCACUUUCAGUGAGGAAGAACGCCUGGUGGUUAAUACCCAUCAGGAAAGACAUCACUCACAGAAGAAGCACCGGCUAACUCCGUGCCAGCAGCCGCGGUAAUACGGAGGGUGCGAGCGUUAAUCGGAAUUACUGGGCGUAAAGCGCGCGUAGGUGGCUUGAUAAGCCGGUUGUGAAAGCCCCGGGCUCAACCUGGGAACGGCAUCCGGAACUGUCAAGCUAGAGUGCAGGAGAGGAAGGUAGAAUUCCCGGUGUAGCGGUGAAAUGCGUAGAGAUCGGGAGGAAUACCAGUGGCGAAGGCGGCCUUCUGGACUGACACUGACACUGAGGUGCGAAAGCGUGGGUAGCAAACAGGAUUAGAUACCCGGGUAGUC